CGCAGCCGCGGUAAUUCCAGCUCCAAUAGCGUAUAUUAAAGUUGUUGCAGUUAAAAGCUCGUAGUUGAAUUUCGGGAUCAAUAUGUCGGUCGUGCCUUCGGUACGUACUGGUAUCAUUGGUCUCUCCUUUCUGACGAACCAUGAUGUCAUUAAUUUGGUGUUAUGGGGAGUUAGGACUGUUACUUUGAAAAAUUAGAGUGUUUAAAGCAGGCUUUAGCUUGAAUACAUUAGCAUGGAAUAAUGAAAUAGGACGUUCGAACCUAUUUUGUUGGUUUCUAGGAUCAACGUAAUGAUUAAUAGGGAUAGUUGGGGGCAUUAGUAUUCAAUUGUCAGAGGUGAAAUUCUUGGAUUUAUUGAAGACUAACUACUGCGAAAGCAUUUGCCAAGGAUGUUUUCAUUAAUCAAGAACGAAAGUUAGGGGAUCGAAGACGAUCAGAUACCGUCGUAGUCUUAACCAUAAACUAUGCCGACUAGGGAUCGGAUGAUGUUAAUUUUUUAAUGACUCAUUCGGCGCCUUACG
This 520-nucleotide unclassified non-coding RNA is filed under the name uncultured Glomus. RNAcentral describes it as "SSU rRNA". It matches the Rfam family "Eukaryotic small subunit ribosomal RNA", at positions 569 to 1092 of the family's 1831-position model. The record is from RNAcentral. Lineage: Eukaryota; Fungi; Glomeromycota; Glomeromycetes; Glomerales; Glomeraceae.